This 305-nucleotide ribosomal RNA is filed under the name uncultured bacterium. RNAcentral describes it as "bacterial SSU rRNA". It matches the Rfam family "Bacterial small subunit ribosomal RNA", at positions 335 to 640 of the family's 1533-position model. The record is from RNAcentral.
GUCCUACGGGGCGCAGCAGUGGGGAAUAUUGCACAAUGGGGGAAACCCUGAUGCAGCGACGCCGCGUGAGUGAGGAAGUAUUUCGGUAUGUAAACCUCUUUUGUCAGGGAACAAAGGCGGGGACGUGUCCCCGGAUGAGUGUACCUGAAGAAAAAGCAUCGGCUAACUCCGUGCCAGCAGCCGCGGUAAUACGGAGGAUGCGAGCGUUAUCCGGAUUUAUUGGGUUUAAAGGGUGCGCAGGCGGUCUGUUAAGUCAGCGGUCAAAGCCCGGGGCUCAACCCCGGCCCCCCGUUGAACCUGGCAGU